CGAACGGGUUAGUAACGCGUGGGAACAUACACAGCACAGGGGGAUAACCAUUGGAAACGAUGGCUAAUACCGCAUACGCCCUAUUGGGGAAAGAUUUAUCGGUGUUGGAUUGGCCCGCGUUAGAUUAGCUAGUUGGUGGGGUAAUGGCUCACCAAGGCGACGAUUUAUAGCUGGUUUGAGAGGAUGAUCAGCAACACUGGAACUGAGACACGGUCCAGACUCCUACGGGAGGCAGCAGUCGGGAAUAUUGUGCAAUGGGGGCAACCCUGACACAGCCAUGCCGCGUGAGUGAAGAAGGCCUUAGGGUUGUAAAGCUCUUUCAGAUGUGAGGAUGAUGACGAUAGCAUCAGAAGAAGCUCCGGCUAACUUCGUGCCAGCAGCCGCGGUAAUACGAAGGGAGCUAGCGUUGUUCGGAAUUACUGGGCGGUAAAGGGCGUGUAGGCGGAUUAUCAAGUUAGGGGUGAAAUCCCGGGGCUCA
This 478-nucleotide ribosomal RNA is filed under the name uncultured bacterium. RNAcentral describes it as "bacterial SSU rRNA". It matches the Rfam family "Bacterial small subunit ribosomal RNA", at positions 99 to 611 of the family's 1533-position model. The record is from RNAcentral.